AACGAACGCUGGCGGCAGGCCUAACACAUGCAAGUCGAGCGCACCCUUCGGGGUGAGCGGCGGACGGGUGAGUAACGCGUGGGAACGUGCCCUUCUCUGCGGAAUAGCCUCGGGAAACUGAGAGUAAUACCGCAUACGCCCUUUGGGGGAAAGAUUUAUCGGAGAAGGAUCGGCCCGCGUUGGAUUAGGUAGUUGGUGGGGUAAUGGCCCACCAAGCCGACGAUCCAUAGCUGGUUUGAGAGGAUGAUCAGCCACACUGGGACUGAGACACGGCCCAGACUCCUACGGGAGGCAGCAGUGGGGAAUCUUAGACAAUGGGGGCAACCCUGAUCGAGCCAUGCCGCGUGAGUGAUGAAGGCCUUAGGGUUGUAAAGCUCUUUCAGCUGGGAAGAUAAUGACGGUACCAGCAGAAGAAGCCCCGGCUAACUCCGUG
Molecule: ribosomal RNA, 433 nt
Filed under: uncultured bacterium
Lineage: Bacteria
Description: partial 16S ribosomal RNA
Rfam family: Bacterial small subunit ribosomal RNA
Source: RNAcentral